AUUGAACGCUGGCGGCAGGCCUAACACAUGCAAGUCGAGCGAGCGGCGGACGGGUGAGUAAUGUAUGGGGACUGCCCGAUAGAGGGGGAUAACUACUGGAAACGGUGGCUAAUACCGCAUACUAUCGGAUAACCCAUAUGGGAUGAGCUAGUAGGUGGGGUAAAGGCUCACCUAGGCGACGAUCCUGAGCUGGUCUGAGAGGAUGAUCAGGCACACUGGGACUGAGACUCAGUCCGACCGCGAAGGGAGGCAGCAGUGGGGAAUGUUGCUCAAUGGGCGCAAGCCUGAUGCAGCCAUGCCGCGUGUAUGAAGAAGGCCAUAAAGUUGUAAAGUACGUUCAGCGGGGAGGGGUGGUCCGCAGAAGAAGCACCGGCUAACUCCGUGCCAGCAGCCGCGGUAAUUC
Molecule: ribosomal RNA, 403 nt
Filed under: uncultured bacterium
Lineage: Bacteria
Description: partial 16S ribosomal RNA
Rfam family: Bacterial small subunit ribosomal RNA
Source: RNAcentral